UAAAUUAAAGUGAGGAAUGAGAUUGGAUGGUAUUGGAACACUGUAUGGAGUGGGCGUUGACUAAUAUCUGAGGAGAAUACAGUGAGUUUGAACAAAUUCAGGAGAAUCUGAAAGUUGGGGGAAUCAAGUGUGGGCGAAGGAAUAUAGUUAAAAAAGAUUUGAGAGAGGAAUAUUUAGAAUUUGUGAUGAUACAGUCAGCAGCAUGUGUAAGAGGGAGUUUAGUUUUGAAGACUUUAUUAGGGAAAAAAGAAGAAAAGGAAUGGGGGGACCUAAACAUGUGCAUGAGUGAGGUGAGAUGUAGAUUGUUUAAAGAAAUGCAGCAGCACUGUUAUGGGGAUGUGUUCAAAUGGGAAUAUGAUAUAUUCUCCAGAGGUUCUUCUAUAUGAUAUUUGGGAAGAUCGGUUAUUUAUAACAUCAUGUUUAUGUUAGGUUAUAAUUGGGUCAACUCUUGUUAUUGAGUUUGUAGUCCAUCAUAAUCAAGGAUAUUUUAUUAAAGAUAUUAAGAAUAAAAUAAUAUCUGAUUAAAGAUAUUGAUAAAGUUGUUUAUGAGUAACCAAGUAAGUUUGUUUA
RNAcentral lists this long non-coding RNA (570 nucleotides) under Vigna radiata. RNAcentral's name for it is "long non-coding RNA (VRAD_LNC009357)". Lineage: Eukaryota; Viridiplantae; Streptophyta; Magnoliopsida; Fabales; Fabaceae. The record is from RNAcentral.